GCCAGUGUGGUGUAGUGGUAGAGGAUUGGACUAUGACUCUAGAGACCAGGGUUUGAAUCCCUGCUCAGCCA
Molecule: non-coding RNA, 71 nt
Organism: Phrynosoma platyrhinos (Desert horned lizard)
Lineage: Eukaryota; Metazoa; Chordata; Lepidosauria; Squamata; Phrynosomatidae
Source: the annotation of a GenBank genome assembly